Molecule: long non-coding RNA, 88 nt
Organism: Myotis davidii
Lineage: Eukaryota; Metazoa; Chordata; Mammalia; Chiroptera; Vespertilionidae
Exons: 3
Source: RefSeq, a predicted model, not a curated record
CAUUCCCUUCUUUUCUAUUUGAAGAUCUAAUUGGCUCUAUUAAGCAAUUCAUGAAUCUGGCAGCAUCCCAUCUUGCAACCAGAAGGGC